RNAcentral lists this ribosomal RNA (495 nucleotides) under uncultured bacterium. RNAcentral describes it as "partial 16S ribosomal RNA". It matches the Rfam family "Bacterial small subunit ribosomal RNA", at positions 28 to 507 of the family's 1533-position model. The record is from RNAcentral.
GAUGAACGCUGGCGGCGUGCCUAAUACAUGCAAGUAGAACGCUGAAGGAGGAGCUUGCUCUUCUGGAUGAGUUGCGUACGGGUGGGUAACGCGUAGGUAACCUGCCUGGUAGCGGGGUAUAACUAUUGGAAACGAUAGCUAAUACCGCAUGACAACAGUUAUUGCAUGAUAACUGUUUAAAAGGGGCAACUGCUCCACUACCAGAGGGACCUGCGUUGUAUUAUCUAGUUGGUGAGGUAACGGCUCACCAAGGCGACGAUACAUAGCCGACCUGCGAGGGGGAUCGGCCACACUGGGACUGAGACACGGCCCAGACUCCUACGGGCGGCAGCAGUAGGGGAUCUUCGUUAAUGGACGGAAGUAUGCCCGAGCAACGCCGCGUGAGUGAAGAAGGUAUUCGGAUGGUAAAGCUAUGUUGUAAGAGAAGAACGAGUGUGAGAGUGGAAAGUUCACACUGUGACGGUAUCUUACCAGAAAGGGACGGCUAACUACGUG